GUUGUGGAUGAACGGACGAAGCUUUUAGUUUAGGAAGCAUCGCUGAUAGCUGUGGUUCAGGCUUGAAUCAUGUUGGUCCAUAAGAUAGCUGUUCGUCGGAAUGAGAAACCUCGCAUCCGAUAUGGUCCGAUGUUAAUCCAGGAUCAAGAAAGGAUAGUGAAUCUGAACUACAUCUACAACUGCAACGACACAGAGGCUCUGUGGAUGCUUCCAAUGAAAAGAGCACCUUUUGCCAGGGUUGUGCAGACGUUUAGGAGCGGGGUGCUAGAAGAUAGCAUCCACACCACUGUGGAAGAACAAGUGGCCACGUUCCUCCAUGUUGUUGGUCAUAACCAGAGGUUCAUGGUUGUACACAACACCUUCAGGAGGUCAAUGGAGACCAUCUCCAGGUACUUCAAGCAAGUGUUGCAUGUUGUUGGGGAGCUCAGAGGAGAGAUGAUCAGGUCACCAACCGGCCGGACUCCUACCAAGAUUCGCACUAGCCCAAGAUGGUAUCCAUACUUCAAGGUGAGCACUUACAGAAUGUAG
Molecule: ribosomal RNA, 528 nt
Filed under: Triticum aestivum (bread wheat)
Lineage: Eukaryota; Viridiplantae; Streptophyta; Magnoliopsida; Poales; Poaceae
Description: partial small subunit ribosomal RNA
Source: RNAcentral